UACGAAGGGGGCUAGCGUUGCUCGGAAUCACUGGGCGUAAAGGGUGCGUAGGCGGGUCUUUAAGUCAGGGGUGAAAUCCUGGAGCUCAACUCCAGAACUGCCUUUGAUACUGAGGAUCUUGAGUUCGGGAGAGGUGAGUGGAACUGCGAGUGUAGAGGUGAAAUGCGUAGAUACUGGGAGGAACACCGGUGGCGAAGGCGGCUACCUGGACCGGUUCUGACGCUGAUGCGCGAAAGCGUGGGUAGCAAACAGG
RNAcentral lists this ribosomal RNA (253 nucleotides) under uncultured bacterium. RNAcentral describes it as "partial 16S ribosomal RNA". It matches the Rfam family "Bacterial small subunit ribosomal RNA", at positions 524 to 776 of the family's 1533-position model. The record is from RNAcentral.